Molecule: ribosomal RNA, 253 nt
Filed under: uncultured bacterium
Lineage: Bacteria
Description: partial 16S ribosomal RNA
Rfam family: Bacterial small subunit ribosomal RNA
Source: RNAcentral
UACGUAGGGGGCUAGCGUUGUCCGGAUUUAUUGGGCGUAAAGAGCGUGUAGGCGGCCAGGUAGGUCUGGUGUGAAAACUCGAGGCUUAACCUCGAGAUGUCAUCGGAAACCAUCUGGCUAGAGUCCGGAAGAGGAGAGUGGAAUUCCUGGUGUAGCGGUGAAAUGCGCAGAUAUCAGGAAGAACACCAAUGGCGAAAGCAGCUCUCUGGGACGGUACUGACGCUGAGGCGCGAAAGCCAGGGGAGCGAACGGG